UGAACAAAUUGUAUACUCGCGGUAAACGUAUUAUAUACAUUAUAGGGGGCGUCAACGUCGAAUUCUCCUCUCGCGCGUCCACCGCUGAUAACAGAAUCAUUAAAGAAUCAUUACAGUGUAAUUCGGAACUCAUUCCGUAGUUAUUACAAAGCAGACGUUCGACGUAUUAAACGGGAACUGAUUUUAGAUUAGACGAGAAAAUUAUAUCGGUUUUACUACGUGUUUUUUUUUUUUAUUAUUUAUAUUUAAUUUUGGAUCUCGUCGCCGUGUAAGUAAGCCGCGUUUUGACUAAUUAAUCGGUUUUCAUAACGAUCGGGAAAG
Molecule: non-coding RNA, 321 nt
Organism: Cinara cedri
Lineage: Eukaryota; Metazoa; Arthropoda; Insecta; Hemiptera; Aphididae
Source: the annotation of a GenBank genome assembly